This is a long non-coding RNA of Phragmites australis (common reed), 2084 nucleotides long. RefSeq lists it as uncharacterized. The record is from RefSeq and is a predicted model, not a curated record. Lineage: Eukaryota; Viridiplantae; Streptophyta; Magnoliopsida; Poales; Poaceae. The transcript is spliced from 2 exons.
UUAUUCCUGUUUUUAGUUAUAACUAUUGUUUUCAGGGAACAACCUACAGAUCCAACUGACAACAUUUUUUGUGUAGCAUUCCUUCUACAAGCAUUCCAGUGCAUACCAUUGCUGCAUAGAAAAGAACAAGAAAAAUUAUCAUUCACACGAAUUUAAAAGAUUACUCUCCACUGGAUGUCUAAGUAUACUGUAUUGCCUUCGCUGAUGUCCACUGCAUGACAUCACAUCUUGAGAGCACAAUGGUUGAAUAAUUAUUGUUCUCUUUUAAAAUUUCCCGUUCUUGGGUUCAGAUCCAACCAAUAGGAAAAUGGUAGUUUAUUAGCGCAUCUCUUUUGACACCAUAUUUUAUUAGGAAAUUAUGCAGUGGUUGGCCGCCUGUUGGUACAGCCUCAAAGGACAGCAACUUGGGGUUCUCCAACUAGUAGUUUUCAGUAGUUAAUAGAUGGUUUUAAAAUAUCAUCCUUUUAGUUGACUGAUUUUUCUAUUUUUAAUUCUUAUCCUGCCUUAAUUAGUCAUGUAAUUGUUGCCUAGUUUUCACAAAACAUAUCUAUAUCCCAUUCUUCAUACACAAAAGCAAAAUAACUGGACAAUCUAAAUUGUUACUAAGUUCUAAGGGGGCAAGGCCUACAUAUGCUUCAUACAAUCGCAAGGAAACAACUGCACAUAUAAUGUUUGAAAACCGUCUACAAAAUUCUCCUUUUCUGAGUAAGGAUAACUGGUUUGGUAAGCGUCCUGUGUAUUUGACUUCUGAAAUUAACAAAAAUAAACCCACCUGUACAAUUUUGUAAGUCCAAACCUCACCAACCCAAAAGUUCUUUUUUGGACACAUAGUUGAUACUUGCAUUUGACAUUUGUAGUUUCUGAAUGGUUGGAUUGUGAUGGAUACCCAACAUCUUGGAUGGAUAUGGAUGAUGGAGAGGAUGCAAAAGUAAUUCUCCAGUCAAGGAUCAAUAGAAAUUGAGGGAGAUGAAUCUAACAUUUCAUUGAUUUAAACCAUGAAAACGGCAGUUAGUCGACUAGGUAACAUAUUAUGCUGACAAAGGUGGUGAAUGCGAGACUGAGAGGUCCAGUGAAAGGAACACACAACUAAAUGGGUGCUCACAGAGGGAACACAUCUGUGCAUUCUGUGGUGCGAGAUUGGUGUCCAAAUCAACGGAAUCGUUGAGGUCGAUCUUGUGUGUAGGGCAAACCAGCUUUUCGAUUGUAAUCAAGGGUAGAUUGACCACCAAGAGUGCAGCUCCAAGGUGUAAACAAUGGUUCAAUCAUCUUGAUCCAAUUGCAAAGAUCAUUAUUCUGGAUUUCUUCAGUUGACACAUAACUUGGGCACUUGGUAUUCUCAGGACAGAACUAGAGCAAUAAUUUACAUUGGGGCUGGGAAGCAAAUUUACGCACCGAAGUUGAUCUCCUUUUAUUAUGAUCCCAUCAGUGACCCUUACACAUCAUUAUUUGCAUCACUGUUCUGAAUUUCUCCAGUCACAUACUUACAACUUGGUGUGGGGUACUACUACGGGCAUGUGGUUGGCAAAGACAUUAUUAGUUUGAUGUAUAUUAUUUAUAUUUUCUGUUUUGAUAUCCUAUGUUGGUUGUAUCUUAUUAAUGAGAGUUCGUAUGAAUUUAUUUUUGGGAAUAUAGCACAUAGAGAUGUUCAUGGGAGGAGUACCUUAAUAAAGAUGAGGUGGAUUAUGAGAUCGUAUGGAGGAGUAAGCGUCAUCCGACGGUGCUGUCAAGCUAUCUAGAUAAUCAUAAAAAGGCAAUUCGUGAUUUUUACCGUGCUAUGUAUCCCCAGCACAAGAGGAGAGCUAUAGAUGUUGAAGAGGUAGCGGCUAAUGGGGUGCAAAUGGAGAUAAUGAAGGUUUUUAUUGCUAAUUUGCCUAUGGUUGUCUCAAACGACGAUGACGAUGAUAAUGAUGAUGCGUUGCUCUAUGAAGGAUCGGACAAUUAGCAUGUAGGGUCAGUUCGAUGAGUAUAUUGUUAGUGUCCUAUAUUAACGUACUAUGUUAGAAACUAUUUGUGAAUUUUAUUUGUAAUCGUCGUCUAAUGUACUAUAUGAACCAUAUAUAUUGUUUUAUUUGUGUCUUUGCUAA